RNA transcript from Pollicipes pollicipes, 1487 nucleotides. It is a transcript of the gene named tropomodulin, with no coding region annotated. The transcript is spliced from 11 exons. The record is from RefSeq and is a predicted model, not a curated record. NCBI's taxonomy places the organism in Eukaryota, Metazoa, Arthropoda, Thecostraca, Pollicipedomorpha, Pollicipedidae.
CUGUGACCUGAGCAGCCGCGUCGCCGCCGACGAUGGAGCGCGACCGCUGGGGACAUGACCAGCCGUCGCCGACGCGCGACGAGCCGGCGGAGGAGCCGGCCCGCAACCGGCUCUCCGACGGCGACAGCGACGACGACAGCGACGAGUAUGAGGAGGUCACCACCAUCACGCGCACCCUCAAGAAGACGACGUACAAGCCGCGCGUGACAGCAUCGCUCGCGUCGAAGGAGGCGGGUGUCAACAAGAAACUGUUCGGAAAAGACCUGAGCGAAUAUGACAACAUGGACAUGGACGACAUGCUGGACCAGCUGACGGCGGAGGAGAUCGACAUGCUGUCGCGUGAUGUCGAUCCAGACGACUCGCUGAUGCCGCCUGAUCAGCGGACAGCCUACCGGUGCGAUAAGUCGGCCACCGGGCCGCUCAACCGGAAGAAGCUGAUCGACCACAUCAACGAGCAGGCGACCAGCGAGCCGGACCGGCCGGAGCAGGUGCCCUUCGAAGCCGGCAUCAUCAGAGGCAAGAAGUGGACGCCGGCGCCGGCGCCACAGGAGCAGCAGCGGGCCGACGAGCAGAUCGCCCUGGACCUGGGCGACGAGUACGAGUCGGCGCUCACCGACGCCUCCGAGAACGAGCUGGUGGACCUGGCAGCGAUCCUCGGCUUCCACUCGAUGAUGAACCAGGACCAGUACCACGCGUCGCUGCUGGGCAAGAAGCUGGACACGGAGGAGGUGGGCUGGAGCGGCAUCACGCGCGCCUCGCGGCCCAAGCCGAUGGCGCCCGAGCCGCCCAACACCACCGACCCCGAACAGUCGAUCGAGAGCGUCAAGCGGGACGACCCCGAAGUGCGCCAGCUUAACCUCAACAACAUCAAGACGAUUUCUGCCGAGCAGUUCGGUCGGCUGUGUCAGGCCGCCACCACCAACACUCGGCUGGAGGGCCUGCUCGUCUCCAACACGGCCAUGGGCGAUGCCUACGCCGAGAAGCUGGUCCAGCUGAUCGAGACCAAUCCUAACAUCAAGGAGAUCAGCAUCGAAUCCAAUUUCAUCAGCCCUCCUAUGAUCGCCCGGCUGGUGAAGGCCCUACUCAAGCAUAAAAGCGUCGAAACAUUUCGAGCCGCAAACCAGAGAUCUCAAGUCCUCGGAAACAAGAUUGAAAUGGAGAUUACAAAGUACGUGGAGCAGAACCCCAACCUCCUCCAACUGGGACUGAACUUCGACUUCAAUGACGCCCGCGCCAGGGUGUCUGCGCAGCUGCAGAAGAACAGGGACCGGUUCCGGACGGGCAAGCGGUCCAGGCUGAGCUGCAGGCUAUUCCGUGACCUUAUAUGGAAGAAAGUAGCAUAACCAAGCGCGCCUGGCACGCCAGGAGGCGCCUCCCACAUCUAAAUGAACGUGUAUGCGUCUCUGCUUGAGUGCGUGCAACCCGAUCAGUGGUACGUUUGUCGGCGCCACCUCCCACUUCGUCCGGCGGCAACACCUCCGGGAAGG